GUUGCGCAUAAAGGAAUCACAGUGUCCUUUACACUCCAAAGAAAUGACGCCUCCGCUGAUAAUGAAUCUCGUCCGCAUGUAAUCUGUUUUUACAUCUUUACCCUUUUUUAUUGUUAACAAUUGCCACUAAUGCUCAUUACAAGUGCAUCAAUGACAUUUCAUAAAGAUAUAUUGAAAUUACUGUAAAACCAGACUCAUAAAGCCUUCAAUAAGCCAAACGAAGCUGCAUGAAAAGGACACCGUAGUCACUCUAAGAGAAUCUCUUUAACCCAUACGUCUACACCAAUCCCUUCAUUCACCUUAGAAAUUCUAACUAUUACCAUCUUCUUCUCAUCUCGUCUACGCCUAUUAUGAGGCAUUCUCUCUGUGUUCUCGAGAGAAUGCAGCAUUUGUAAAACAAGGCAAGAAGUUGUUCUCACCUGCCUCAUCUCACUAGGAUUCAGUGCCAGCUCCUUUGCACUUUCGAGCCAUGUUCCGAUUAGAAAAUUAUCAUCGGAAGCAAGAAGUACAUCAAUGUCCUUGAUGAGUUGGAUAAAUUUCUGGCUGUGAAGAUUCAAGGCACGAGCAUCAUUACUCCGAAAAGCUAUUAUAGCAUCAACGUAUACUUGGUUUGCUAGCUUUGACAGAACUUGUCGCGUUAAGUCAACCAAGUCAUAUCUGUUGCAAUUGUAUAUUGUAAGUAAACAUGAUAACGAACUUCCUCCUUCCGUUUGUAAUGCUAUGUGUGAAUGAUUCAUAAAUAAAUUUAGCAAUAUUGAAGAUA
This is a long non-coding RNA of Ricinus communis (castor bean), 763 nucleotides long. RefSeq lists it as uncharacterized. The record is from RefSeq and is a predicted model, not a curated record. Lineage: Eukaryota; Viridiplantae; Streptophyta; Magnoliopsida; Malpighiales; Euphorbiaceae. The transcript is spliced from 2 exons.